RNAcentral lists this ribosomal RNA (863 nucleotides) under uncultured bacterium. RNAcentral's name for it is "bacterial SSU rRNA". It matches the Rfam family "Bacterial small subunit ribosomal RNA", at positions 544 to 1398 of the family's 1533-position model. The record is from RNAcentral.
CCGAGAUUUACUGGGGUAAGAGGUCUCGUACUCUGAUAUUUGAGUCAGGGGCGGAUUUCCUGAGUUCUACUCCUGACUGGCGUUUGUUGCUUGGUAUUCUUCGAGUGUGCAGAUCUAGAUGUAUUGACGACUGUAGCAGCUGCAAAUUGGUUUAUAUUCGCAGGUUUUCCAUUGGCGAGGGCGGACUUUUUUGGGCUAUAACUGGCGUCUGAGGUCCGUCAUCGUGGGGAGCACACACGAUUCCGAUCCCCGGGUCGUCGGCUCCGUCUACCGAUGACUGUUACCCGUCGGGCAGUUUACUCUUCGUGUGUGCAGCCUGCGGGUUGUACGGUCCCCGGGGGAGUCCUAUCGCAAGAUUAAAAUCAAAGGAAUUGGCGGGGAGCCUGCACAAGCGGUGGAGCUCUGUAGUGUAAAUUCGAAGCAACGCGCAGACAUAUUAACAGACCUUGACAUGUCCGGCUAUUCAGAGAGAUUUGGAGUUGUCCUUCGGGGACCGGAGCACAGGUUCGACCGAGCUGUCGUCAGCUCUCGUCGUGAGAUGUUGGGUUAAGCCCCGCAACGAGCGCCACCCUCGUUCUUAUUCGCCAGCAUUCUCUUGGACACUCUAGGGGGGCUUACGGUGAUAAGCCGAGAGGAAGGUGGGGAUGACGUCAAGCCCUCAAUGUUCUUACGGGCUGGGCUACACACGUGCUACAAUGGUGGUGACAGUGGGCAGCGAAGGAGCGAUCCUGAGCUAAUCUCCAAAAGCCAUCUCAGUUCGGAUUGCACUCUGCAACUCGAGUGCAUGAAGUUGGAAUCGCUAGUAAUCGCGGAUCAGCACGCCGCGGUGAAUACGUUCCCGGCCCUUGCACUCACCGCCCGUC